AGACGCCGUCGGGAAGGUUGGAGGGGAGCCAGCGCGGACUUUUUUUUCAGCAUCUGGAUGUUGAGCUGGUUGCAGAUCAAGCAUCCUCCUCUGUAUUGACAUCGCUGUCCCCAACUUCAUCCCAUUCAUCCUUGGUAGUGGCACAGACUGCACUAUCCCCAGCUUUAUCCCAUUCAUCUGAUUCCACCGUUAUUCUGGAGUCCACAAGAAAAAGGAGGAACCCAACAGGGUUAAUGGACCAGAAUGAAGCAAAACAGAUGGUUGAGGGUGUUCUGAGGGCCAAUCCAAAGGGUGAAGAAGUCUUUAAUGAGUAUGAUAAGACUAAAACACUAACUGAUGCAACCCGUAAACAAAUGGUGAACAUCCUGGUUGCAGAUAUGAUAGAGCUACAUGGGAGGGUUCCACCGUCAAGUGUAAGGACCAAUUAUGCACUGGGAAUUGUGACUCUUUUUCCAUACCUCCGUGAUCCAUUCUCCAAACUUGGAUAUGAUGGGACAGUGAUAUGUCUUCAAUCCUUUUGCUGCUGCAUCUACUCCCUCCAACUUCAAGGGGCCAGAAAAAAACUGCCAAGAUCAGUUCAGCUCAAGCAACCAGCCAUCUUGUUAGAUAUCUUAAGGAAGGAGCCAGUAUUCCUACCUUCCUUGAGAGUGUCGACGCAAACAACCGUUCCUCCUUUGCAUCGGUGAGCAAAAGAAGAAUAUCCAAAGGUUCUACCUUAUUAUCGACCGAAAACCACUCCCGUGCAAGGCACACACAUCAGUGGCAGCUUUAGACAUUACAUUUGGCCGCCUGUUCAAAUGUUACAAGUACAAGGUGGGUCAGAUAUUACGGUACUGAGUACCAGGUUGGGUUGUACUUAUGCACUGGAUGUACCGAUGAUCUUCCUGUGUUCAAAAAGAUCUGUGAUAUUAUAAUACAUGAACAGCACGCUUUCAUAAUAUCCUGUAAUGUACAAACAAUGUACUAUGAUGACCACUUUAGUGCAUACUGUAUAGAAGACCAAAUGAAUGUGUUUUCUGUCAUAUCUGUGAAGGCACUGACUUAUUUUAGACCAUUUGACAAGCAAUGCUCUAAUGACAAUAGUCAAAGAGCGAACAUAGUGCCUUAUUGUUACAUUUAGAUAAAUGUACAGCAAUGAAAAAA
Long non-coding RNA from Gasterosteus aculeatus aculeatus (three-spined stickleback), 1143 nucleotides. The record is from Ensembl. Lineage: Eukaryota; Metazoa; Chordata; Actinopteri; Perciformes; Gasterosteidae.